RNAcentral lists this ribosomal RNA (328 nucleotides) under Westiellopsis sp. CG19. RNAcentral's name for it is "bacterial SSU rRNA". It matches the Rfam family "Bacterial small subunit ribosomal RNA", at positions 413 to 738 of the family's 1533-position model. Lineage: Bacteria; Bacillati; Cyanobacteriota; Cyanophyceae; Nostocales; Hapalosiphonaceae. The record is from RNAcentral.
GGCUCUUGGGUUGUAAACCUCUUUUCUCAGGGAAUAAGCAAGUGAAGGUACCUGAGGAAUCAGCAUCGGCUAACUCCGUGCCAGCAGCCGCGGUAAUACGGAGGAUGCAAGCGUUAUCCGGAAUGAUUUGGGCGUAAAGCGUCCGUAAGGUGUAGGAUACGCUGUGUGUGUCUAUUGUUAAAGAGUUUGGCUCAACCCAAAUAAAGGGGCGGUAGAAACUACACAGACUAGAGUGCGUUCGGGGCAGAGGGAAUUCCUCGGUGUAGCGGGUGAAAUGCGUAGAGAUCAGGAAGAACACCGGUGGCGAAAGCGCUCUGCUAGGCACCCC